GACGAACGCUGGCGGCGUGCUUCAUACAUGCAAGUCGAACGAGAAGCUGACUUCGGUCAGUGGAAAGUGGCGGACGGGUGAGUAAUAUGUAGGAAAUCUGCCUUUAGGAGGGGGACAACAGAGGGAAACUUCUGCUAAUACCCCAUAUGAGCGUAGCUGAAAUGCUAUUCUUGAAAACUCCGGUGCCUAAAGAUGCGCCUGCAUCUGAUUAGCUAGUUGGUAGUGUAAUGGACUACCAAGGCGACGAUCAGUAGCUGGUUUGAGAGGAUGAUCAGCCACAAGGGGACUGAGACACGGCCCAUACUCCUACGGGAGGCAGCAGUAGGGAAUUUUGCGCAAUGGGCGAAAGCCUGACGGAGCAACGCCGCGUGAACGAUUAAGCCCUUCGGGGUGUAAAGUUCUGUCAGUGGGGACGAAACUUGACGGUACCCACAGAGGAAGCACCGGCUAACUCCGUG
This 458-nucleotide ribosomal RNA is filed under the name uncultured bacterium. RNAcentral describes it as "partial 16S ribosomal RNA". It matches the Rfam family "Bacterial small subunit ribosomal RNA", at positions 28 to 507 of the family's 1533-position model. The record is from RNAcentral.